GACGAACGCUGGCGGCGUGCUUAACACAUGCAAGUCGAGCGGUAAGGCCCUUCGGGUACGACGAGCGGCGAACGGGUGAGUAACACGUGGGUGACCUGCCUCUAGCUCUGGGAUAAGCCUGGGAAACGUGGGUCUAAUACCGGAUAUGACUCCACGGCGCAUGUUGUGGGUGGAAAGCCUUGUGUGGCUAGAGAUGGGCCCGCGGCCUAUCAGCUUGUUGGUGGGUGAUGGCCUACCAAGGCGACGACGGUAGCCGGCCUGAGAGGCGACCGGCCACACUGGGACUGAGACACGGCCCAGACUCCUACGGGAGGCGAGCAGUGGGGAAUCUUGCGCAAUGGGCGAAAGCCUGACGCAGCGACGCCCG
RNAcentral lists this ribosomal RNA (367 nucleotides) under uncultured bacterium. Its description in RNAcentral is "bacterial SSU rRNA". It matches the Rfam family "Bacterial small subunit ribosomal RNA", at positions 28 to 399 of the family's 1533-position model. The record is from RNAcentral.